Daphnia magna is the source of this 440-nucleotide long non-coding RNA. RefSeq lists it as uncharacterized. NCBI's taxonomy places the organism in Eukaryota, Metazoa, Arthropoda, Branchiopoda, Diplostraca, Daphniidae. The record is from RefSeq and is a predicted model, not a curated record. The transcript has 2 exons.
AUAGACAUUUUAUUCCAGCCUUGUGUAUACAUCCGUCCGGCCAUUGGGUAAACGAGAAAAACGAAAAACGAAUAAAAACAUAAACUGCCUGAAUAUAGCCAUCGUGUUUAUGGGCUGUACUACACGUGAAAUUCCAGCUUGCCUUUAGGCAUGGGCCCAAAAGGCAGCACUCGGGCCUGUUAAUUUAUAGUUGUCCAGACAAAGAACACGUUUUGCGUUCAAGAAUAGCCAUCAUAAAUGUUGGUGUACUGCUUUAAAUAGCUCUCAAAUGCUCAUUUAAUGACGCAUCAAGGUAUUCGGAAUGAACGUGUCAAGAUUAAUUUCAGUCGCUUUCUUAUUGUAUCUACAUAAACUGUUACUUUUAGCUUCGAGCUGUUGGUCGAUUACAUUAUUAAACAGGUGGCUAUGGUUUAAUUUUGACGAGUUUUGCCAUGGCGUUU